AGUUCUACUGUCGUUUGAGUUCUACUGUCGCACACAAAGAAAUUUUAAAAAUUAUUUCAAAUAUUGUGGUUCUAUUGUCGAUGGAGUUCUUCUGUCUUUUGACUUUUGAGUUGUACGGUCGCCAUACCAAAGUAAAUUGCGUUAUGGACUUGGGGUGUCAGAGGUGUCCAAUAGAUGGCGUUUCAUGUGAUGGCGGAUUGUUGUAUCAGUGUUUGUCAAAAGUUUUCCUGUUUUUCCAUGAAAAUUACCGAUGAAUUCAUCAGUAAAUUCAAGUUCUUUUCUGUGCAACUUGUUUGCGAUGUUAUUUAUUCUUAUGUGUGCUGGAUCAAAUUAAAAAUUCCUCAAUCUUACCUGCAGGAAGGAACGGGAAAGGACAGUAGCAUACAAGCAGCCUAACAUCACUACCACCAUCUCUUUUAUUAAAAAUCUUCGUUCUGCUGAAUGCAUCAUGCAGUCAAAACAGCAGUUUCUAUUGAUCUUGGUAGGUCACUACCCCAGUGUGGACAUGUUUGUUUUUCUGAACAUGUUUUUCAACAAACAAUUCAUUGACGUACAAGUAUUAUUCUUCUUUCGGUUGUAAACUGUUAUUUGAUGUCAUAGAUUGUAUUUUCUAUCAUGGGGAAUAAUAUGAAAAAUAUCAUUUCAUCUAGGCCAUGGGUAAUCUUCAGGUCUUUGCAGCAGCUUAAGAGAAGAAUAUGAACAAAUGCAGGGCAACUUACCAACAUGUGUUGUAUUUUUCUGAAUGUUAAACACGAGCAGUAGAUUCAACAUGACUAACUGUUGGAUGCCAAAGUUAGUUGGAACUCAACUCACUGUACAUACUCUAACACAGAUAACUCUGGUGAUGUUGCCUUACAGCCACAUGCAGGAAAAUGAUUGUUUUCUUCAGAAAAUUGUAAGUUUAAUUUUUUUCUUGACCACCAACACUUUCUGUUAAUAUUAUAGAUUUUUAUGUUGAAAGAGUUACAAAGUCUGAAAAGCUAACUUCAUUCUUCAUGGUUUAACUUCAUGGUGUUCAUGCUCAUUUGAUUCAUUUCGUGCCAGCUAGUGAAAGCCGAAAGGCAUGUCGAAUGUCGAAUUCAAUCCAGCCGUUGCGUUCAGUCAUUUGGAACAGGAGUCUAAUGGCUGUGAAUAAGUGGCUGAAAUGAUGUCCACCAGGUGGCGCGAAUCUCUUCGGGGACGCUAAGCGGCCAUUUUGAUCCAAGACGCAGCAGAGAUGGGUUGUUGGUUGUGACGUUUCUCACGAUGAAAAUUAAAAGGUGAUUUAGCACGUAAAAACCAAGUUGCCAAAUCAUUCAAAUCAGACUUGGAAGUGCCUGUACAUUUCCGAAAUGGCGUGCCUCGUGUGUCUCGGUGCCUGUUCUUAGACGUACCGUCUCAUCCCAUGUAACAGCAAUAAAUAUAACAAACACUUCUUUAACGCUGGUGGUGGUUACCUUGUUGCAGCCAAAUGGUGAAAGGUGUGACGAAGACAGAUUGAACCAUUGUAUGGAGCAUGCGGUUGCAGUUCAAUCCAGAAGUUGCUGUGCUGUUGCAGCUGAGCUGUUCCAU
Long non-coding RNA from Daphnia pulex (common water flea), 1551 nucleotides. RefSeq lists it as uncharacterized. The transcript has 5 exons. The record is from RefSeq and is a predicted model, not a curated record. Lineage: Eukaryota; Metazoa; Arthropoda; Branchiopoda; Diplostraca; Daphniidae.